ACGCUGGCGGCAGGCCUAACACAUGCAAGUCGAGCGGCAGCACAAGGGAGUUUACUCCUGAGGUGGCGAGCGGCGGACGGGUGAGUAAUGCCUAGGGAUCUGCCCAGUCGAGGGGGAUAACAGUUGGAAACGACUGCUAAUACCGCAUACGCCCUACGGGGGAAAGGAGGGGACCUUCGGGCCUUCCGCGAUUGGAUGAACCUAGGUGGGAUUAGCUAGUUGGUGAGGUAAUGGCUCACCAAGGCGACGAUCCCUAGCUGUUCUGAGAGGAUGAUCAGCCACACUGGGACUGAGACACGGCCCAGACUCCUACGGGAGGCAGCAGUGGGGAAUAUUGCACAAUGGGGGAAACCCUGAUGCAGCCAUGCCGCGUGUGUGAAGAAGGCCUUCGGGUUGUAAAGCACUUUCAGUAGGGAGGAAAGGGUGAGUCUUAAUACGGCUCAUCUGUGACGUUACCUACAGAAGAAGGACCGGCUAACUCCGUGCCAGCAGCCGCGGUAAUACGGAGGGUCCGAGCGUUAAUCGGAAUUACUGGGCGUAAAGCGUGCGCAGGCGGUUUGUUAAGCGAGAUGUGAAAGCCCUGGGCUCAACCUAGGAAUAGCAUUUCGAACUGGCGAACUAGAGUCUUGUAGAGGGGGGUAG
RNAcentral lists this ribosomal RNA (642 nucleotides) under Shewanella sp. N49. RNAcentral describes it as "bacterial SSU rRNA". It matches the Rfam family "Bacterial small subunit ribosomal RNA", at positions 33 to 664 of the family's 1533-position model. Lineage: Bacteria; Pseudomonadati; Pseudomonadota; Gammaproteobacteria; Alteromonadales; Shewanellaceae. The record is from RNAcentral.